AUGCAAGUCGAACGCGAAAGCCCCGCAAGGGGUGAGUAGAGUGGCAAACGGGUGAGUAACACGUGGGUGACCUGCCUCAGAGUGGGGGAUAACGUUCCGAAAGGAGCGCUAAUACCGCAUAACAUCCUGCGUUUGGAAACGCAGACAUCAAAGCCGGGGAUCGCAAGACCUGGCGCUCAGAGAGGGGCCCGCGGCCGAUUAGCUAGUUGGUGAGGUAACGGCUCACCAAGGCAACGAUCGGUAUCCGGCCUGAGAGGGCGGACGGACACACUGGGACUGAGACACGGCCCAGACUCCUACGGGAGGCAGCAGUGGGGAAUUGUUCGCAAUGGGCGCAAGCCUGACGACGCAACGCCGCGUGGAGGACGAAGAUCUUCGGGUCGUAAACUCCUUUCGAUCGGGAAGAACGUUUUCCGGAUGAAUACUCCGGAGAAGUGACGGUACCGAGAGAAGAAGCCCCGGCUAACUCCGUGCCAGCAGCCGCGGUAAUACGGGGGGGGCAAGCGUUGUUCGGAAUUACUGGGCGUAAAGGGCUUGUAGGCGGCCAACUAAGUCCGACGUGAAAUCCCCAGGCUCAACCUGG
RNAcentral lists this ribosomal RNA (583 nucleotides) under uncultured soil bacterium. Its description in RNAcentral is "bacterial SSU rRNA". It matches the Rfam family "Bacterial small subunit ribosomal RNA", at positions 55 to 617 of the family's 1533-position model. The record is from RNAcentral.